RNAcentral lists this ribosomal RNA (261 nucleotides) under uncultured bacterium. RNAcentral describes it as "partial 16S ribosomal RNA". It matches the Rfam family "Bacterial small subunit ribosomal RNA", at positions 524 to 784 of the family's 1533-position model. The record is from RNAcentral.
UACGAAGGGUGCAAGCGUUAAUCGGAAUUACUGGGCGUAAAGCGUGCGCAGGCGGUUAUAUAAGACAGAUGUGAAAUCCCCGGGCUCAACCUGGGCACUGCAUUUGUGACUGUAUAGCUAGAGUACGGUAGAGGGGGAUGGAAUUCCGCGUGUAGCAGUGAAAUGCGUAGAUAUGCGGAGGAACACCGAUGGCGAAGGCAAUCCCCUGGGCCUGUACUGACGCUCAGGCACGAAAGCGUGGGGAACAAACAGGAUUAGAUA